ACCGGCCUCUGUAAUAUUAUUCUUCCUCUUACAGGCUUCUACUGUGAAAACUGUUUCCGGAAUAUGGGUGACGUGUGUCCCAUCUGUGCGGCUCCGGAUGAGGACGAGGAAGUGGACUCCAGUGAUGAGGAGUGGGGUGUACCUCCUUGGAGGGAGAGCCCCGCACCUAGUGAGGAGGAUUCUGGCGAUACAGACUACGACUAUAUAUUGGAGUCUGAUGACUGACGGACACCCCCACAGCGCCAAACGUUCUCCCAGUUUCCAGUUAUGGUUUCCAGUUCUCAGUUAUGUGUUUUCCAGCAGAACAUUGCGCUUGUUUUUGUUUCCAUUUUUGCAUCAUUAAUCUAUUGUGGGAACCACAAGGAGGGUUCUGUGAGAGUUCUAUAUGCGCAGUGAUUACUCUUUUCCGUGACAUCAUUUCUUCUCAAAAGUGUUAUUCUUCAAAUAUUUCCCGGUUUUUGUUACAGAAAAGUUACAAUAAACAGUU
This is a long non-coding RNA of Pseudophryne corroboree (corroboree frog), 487 nucleotides long. RefSeq lists it as uncharacterized. NCBI's taxonomy places the organism in Eukaryota, Metazoa, Chordata, Amphibia, Anura, Myobatrachidae. The record is from RefSeq and is a predicted model, not a curated record. The transcript is spliced from 3 exons.